Molecule: small nucleolar RNA, 104 nt
Organism: Gossypium raimondii (Peruvian cotton)
Lineage: Eukaryota; Viridiplantae; Streptophyta; Magnoliopsida; Malvales; Malvaceae
Rfam family: Plant small nucleolar RNA R71
About the family: R71 is a member of the C/D box family of snoRNAs containing the C (UGAUGA) and D (CUGA) box motifs.
Source: Rfam
AGCCCAUGAUGAUGACACUUACGCUAAUUCCUUGAAUCUUUCCUACGCCUUGUAUAAGGAUUCGUCAUCCAAUUGUGAAAAAUUGAUUAUCUUGUUUUGCAACU